Molecule: ribosomal RNA, 403 nt
Filed under: uncultured bacterium
Lineage: Bacteria
Description: partial 16S ribosomal RNA
Rfam family: Bacterial small subunit ribosomal RNA
Source: RNAcentral
GACGAACGCUGGCGGCGUGCCUAAUACAUGCAAGUCGAACGCAGUGGGGACGGGUGAGUAACACGUGGGUAACCUCCCAUCAGAGGGGAUAACACUUGGACACAGGUGCUAAACCGAUACUGAUGGAUGGACCCGCGGUGCAUUCGCUAGGUGGUGGGGGAACGGCUCACCAAGGCCACGAUGCAGAGCCGACCGGAGAGGAGGAUCAGCCACACGUGAACUGAGACACGGUCCAGACUCCUACGUGAGGCAGCAGUGGGGAAUGUGGGACAAGGGGCGAAAGCCUGAUCCAGCCAUGCCGCGUGUGUGAAGAAGGUCUUCGGAUUGUAAAGCACUUUAAGUUGGGAGGCGUUACCAACAGAAUAAGCACCGGCUAACUUCGUGCCAGCAGCCGCGGUAAUAC